This 341-nucleotide ribosomal RNA is filed under the name Stenotarsus cuprivestis. Its description in RNAcentral is "partial 12S ribosomal RNA". The record is from RNAcentral. Lineage: Eukaryota; Metazoa; Arthropoda; Insecta; Coleoptera; Endomychidae.
UUUAAUUGUAAAUUGAUAUCAAAAUUAUUAAUAGUUAAGUUCUUUAAAUUUAAAGAUUUUGGCGGUAUUUUAGCCUUUUCAGAGGAACCUGUCCUAUAAUUGAUAAUCCACGAUUAUUUAAACUUUAUUUAUUAGUUUGUAUAUCGUCGUAUAAAAAAUAUAUUAAAAGAUAAUAUUAAUUUUAAAUAAAAAUUCAAUUCAGAUCAAGGUGCAGCUUAUAGUAAAGUAGAGAUGGGUUACAUUAUUUUAAAGAUGUGGAAAUAAUUUUAAAAAUUUUUAAAAAUGGAUUUGAAAGUAAUUAAUAUAAAUAUUUUAUUAAUGAUUAAAGCUCUAAAAUAUGU